This 274-nucleotide ribosomal RNA is filed under the name uncultured bacterium. Its description in RNAcentral is "partial 16S ribosomal RNA". It matches the Rfam family "Bacterial small subunit ribosomal RNA", at positions 523 to 796 of the family's 1533-position model. The record is from RNAcentral.
AUACGGAGGGGGUUAGCGUUGUUCGGAAUUACUGGGCGUAAAGCGCACGUAGGCGGAUUGGAAAGUUGGGGGUGAAAUCCCAGGGCUCAACCCUGGAACUGCCUCCAAAACUAACAGUCUAGAGUUCGAGAGAGGUGAGUGGAAUUCCAAGUGUAGAGCUGAAAUUCGUAGAUAUUUGGAGGAACACCAGUGGCGAAGGCGGCUCACUGGCUCGAUACUGACGCUGAGGUGCGAAAGCGUGGGGAGCAAACAGGAUUAGAAACCCGAGUAGUCC